This 496-nucleotide ribosomal RNA is filed under the name uncultured bacterium. RNAcentral describes it as "partial 16S ribosomal RNA". It matches the Rfam family "Bacterial small subunit ribosomal RNA", at positions 28 to 507 of the family's 1533-position model. The record is from RNAcentral.
GAUGAACGCUGGCGGCGUGCCUAAUACAUGCAAGUCGAGCGAACAGACGAGGAGCUUGCUCCUCUGACGUUAGCGGCGGACGGGCGAGUAACACGUGGAUAACCUACCUAUAAGACUGGAUAACUUCGGGAAACCGGAGCUAAUACCGGAUAAUAUAUUGAACCGCCUGGUUCAAUAGUGAAAGACGGUUUUGCUGUCACUUAUAGAUGGAUCCGCGCCGCAUUAGCUAGUUGGUAAGGUAACGGCUUACCAAGGCAACGAUGCGUAGCCGACCUGAGAGGGUGAUCGGCCACACUGGAACUGAGACACGGUCCAGACUCCUACGGGAGGCAGCAGUAGGGAAUCUUCCGCAAUGGGCGAAAGCUUGACGGAGCAACGCCGCGUGAGUGAUGAAGGUCUUCGGAUCGUAAAACUCUGUUAUUAGGGAAGAACAAAUGUGUAAGUAACUAUGCACGUCUUGACGGUACCUAAUCAGAAAGCCACGGCUAACUACGUG